UGGGGAAUAUUGGACAAUGGGCGCAAGCCUGAUCCAGCCAUGCCGCGUGAGUGAUGAAGGCCCUAGGGUUGUAAAGCUCUUUUGUGCGGGAAGAUAAUGACGGUACCGCAAGAAUAAGCCCCGGCUAACUCCGUGCCAGCAGCCGCGGUAAUACGGGGGGAGCAAGCGUUGUUCGGAUUUACUGGGCGUAAAGGGCGCGUAGGCGGCCACCGCAAGUCGACUGUGAAAUCUCCGGGCUUAACCCGGAAAGGUCAGCCGAUACUGCGGGGCUAGAGUGCAGAAGGGGCAACUGGAAUUCUCGGUGUAGCGGUGAAAUGCGUAGAUAUCGAGAGGAACACCUGCGGCGAAGGCGGGUUGCUGGGCUGACACUGACGCUGAGGCGCGAAAGCUAGGGGAGCGAAC
RNAcentral lists this ribosomal RNA (402 nucleotides) under uncultured bacterium. RNAcentral's name for it is "bacterial SSU rRNA". It matches the Rfam family "Bacterial small subunit ribosomal RNA", at positions 355 to 773 of the family's 1533-position model. The record is from RNAcentral.